CAUACAGCUCAGUAACACGUGGCUAAUCUGCCCUUGGGACGAGACUACUCCCGGGAAACUGGGGUUAAUUCUCGAUAGGUGAAGAACACUGGAAUGUGUCUUCACCUAAAAGGUCCUGCGUUAUGCUCGUAGGUAUCGCCUAAGGAUGAGGCCGCGACCGAUCAGGUUGUUGGCGAGGUAAUGGCUCACCAAGCCUUUUACCGGUGCGGGCCGUGGGAGCGGGAGCCCGGAGAUGGGUACUGAGACAAGGACCCAGGCCCUACGGGGCGCAGCAGUCGCGAAAACUUUGCAAUACACGAAAGUGUGACAGGGCUAUCCCGAGUGCCAUCCGCUGAGGAAGGCUUUUACCCAGUCUAGAACGCUGGGGGAAUAAGGAGAGGGCAAGUCUGGUGUCAGCCGCCGCGGUAAUACCAGCUCUUCGAGUGGUGUGGAUGUUUAUUGGGCCUCAACCAUCCGUAGCUGGCUAGGUUAGUCCCUGUGUUCUAUUCCCCCCAUUUACCGUUGG
Molecule: ribosomal RNA, 505 nt
Filed under: uncultured archaeon
Lineage: Archaea
Description: bacterial SSU rRNA
Rfam family: Archaeal small subunit ribosomal RNA
Source: RNAcentral